This 92-nucleotide transfer RNA is filed under the name Actinoplanes siamensis. RNAcentral describes it as "tRNA-Pro". Lineage: Bacteria; Bacillati; Actinomycetota; Actinomycetes; Micromonosporales; Micromonosporaceae. The record is from RNAcentral.
GCGGGCGUGGAGGACGCGGACGGCUCCGCCGCCGCGGAGGCGGCCGAGGUGUCGGCGAGAUGACGCUCGAUCGCGUCCAGAUGCCCGCCCCA